GUGAAUCAUCGAAUUUUUGAACGCAAAUUGCACUCUCUUCUGAGAGUAUGACUGUUUGAGUGUCAGCCUAAAAAAAACCGACAUAGUUGAUGAUACGCGUUAACAUUCGUCGGAAAUUGGGUCAUCUUAAACCUUUGGGUUUAAGCGGCUUAAAAUGGUCUUUACGAUUCCAAGAACGAGUCUAAGAUUUUAUUUUAUUAUA
RNAcentral lists this unclassified non-coding RNA (202 nucleotides) under Glomus sp. RNAcentral's name for it is "partial contains 5.8S ribosomal RNA and internal transcribed spacer 2". The stretch from base 1 to 65 matches the Rfam family "5.8S ribosomal RNA", at positions 84 to 154 of the family's 154-position model. The record is from RNAcentral. Lineage: Eukaryota; Fungi; Glomeromycota; Glomeromycetes; Glomerales; Glomeraceae.